GACGAACGCUGGCGGCGUGCCUAAUACAUGCAAGUCGAGCGCUGAAGGUUGGUACUUGUACCAACUGGAUGAGCAGCGAACGGGUGAGUAACGCGUGGGGAAUCUGCUUUUGAGCGGGGGACAACAUUUGGAAACGAAUGCUAAUACCGCAUAAAAACUUUAAACACAAGUUUUAAGUUUGAAAGAUGCAAUUGCAUCACUCAAAGAUGAUUCCGCGGUGUAUUAGUUAGUUGGUGAGGUAAAGGCGCACCAAGGCGAUGAUACAUAGCCGACCUGCGAGGGUGGUCGGCCACAUUGGGACGGAGACACGGCCCAAACUCCUACGGGAAGGAGCAGGAGGGAAACUUCGGCAAUGGGCGAAAGUCUGACCGAGCAACGCCGCGUGAGGGAAGAAGGUUUUCGGGUCGUAAAACUCUGUUUGUAGGGAAGAACGUGGGUGAGAGUGGAAAGCUCAUCAAGUGACGGUAACUACCCAGAAAGGGACGGCUAACUACGUG
RNAcentral lists this ribosomal RNA (497 nucleotides) under uncultured bacterium. RNAcentral's name for it is "partial 16S ribosomal RNA". It matches the Rfam family "Bacterial small subunit ribosomal RNA", at positions 28 to 507 of the family's 1533-position model. The record is from RNAcentral.